RNAcentral lists this ribosomal RNA (164 nucleotides) under Phalaenopsis mannii. RNAcentral's name for it is "5.8S ribosomal RNA". The record is from RNAcentral. Lineage: Eukaryota; Viridiplantae; Streptophyta; Magnoliopsida; Asparagales; Orchidaceae.
UCGAGUCUUUGAACGCAAGUUGCGCCCGAGGCCAAUCGGUCGAGGGCACGUCCGCCUGGGCGUCGAGCGUUGCGCCGCUCCGUGCCGAGCCCCCAUCCCCGCCGCAGUGGGGGUGCCGGGCGAGGCCCGGAUGCGCGGAGUGGCCCGUCGUGCCCGUCGGUGCG